Xenia sp. Carnegie-2017 is the source of this 73-nucleotide non-coding RNA. The record is from the annotation of a RefSeq genome assembly. Lineage: Eukaryota; Metazoa; Cnidaria; Anthozoa; Malacalcyonacea; Xeniidae.
GUUCUCGUAGUGUAGUGGUUAUCACAUCCGCUUAACACGCGGAAGGUCGCAGGUUCGAGCCCUGCCGAGAACA